CACAAAUUCCGUUCUCUUUUUCACACUUAAAAACAGCUUUGAAAUUUGCUUGGAAAACAGAAAUGGCGAAUUCACCGUGUGAGUUCGAUGCUCAAAUUGUUAAUAAUCCAUCAUCAGAAGCUGAAUCUCAGCUUUCUUCUCUCGUUUACGAUAUGUCACAACAGGUCCAGACGGCAAUGACAAACAUGCUUAAGAUGAUAUGUGAAAUUGAUCAGAACUCUGCUGUAAUUAUGGAAGAGAUAGAGAGGAGCAAAAACUCUGCGCUUGAGAAGAAGAAAGCUUUGGAGGAAGAGAAGGAACGUUUUCAGAAAGCUGCUUACGCUGUUUUAAAUAUGCUUACCAGUAGGGAUUGAAAGCUGUAAGUUGAUUAAUUUGAGUUUCUCAGGUAAAAAUUAAAUUAAAAAAAAAUGCAGUUCAUUUACAAAAUUGUUUACAUAAUGGCCACAUGUAUGCAUACAAAGAUGCGUAUACUGAAAAUAUACACUUGUGUUUAUACUUUUUUUUUUUAUCCUAAUUAUAUGAAAAUUUGAACUUUCCCUGAUGCAUUCAGAAUCUCCAUUGAAGUACUAGUAGGUCUCAAUGGACUGAUGAUUGGCAGAACUCUCUCAUAGUUUCAAAAGAUAUAUAAAUGAUCAUUUUCUCUCAAAGCAUUCAAGUCUUCCACCUGUGAUCCAUCAUCCAUGAGAAUUGUGCUCCCUCUUCUUCCGAAUUUUUUCUCUGCAUCAAACUUGAAAUUAGUUUUGCCGUUGACAACAAUUUCAUGCAAGUGUUUGCUAAGGAUAUCUUACAGUGGAUGCUGUUGAUGGUAUUGCUUUCUGGAGCAUGUUCAUGGGUAAUUCAAAACCAUCCCAUUAACACUUAAUUCCACUAUCAUUUUGAUGAUACAGAUGGUGACCAUAGUUACAUGCUAUGCCAAUUUAAAUCAAAUUAGGCUUUUUAUCUUCUUUUUAUUGGCUUUUAUACAUGCACGAUGACUUUAAAUCUACCCAAUUCUCUUUUAGCUACUUUA
Mangifera indica (mango) is the source of this 1009-nucleotide RNA transcript. RefSeq lists it as uncharacterized. Lineage: Eukaryota; Viridiplantae; Streptophyta; Magnoliopsida; Sapindales; Anacardiaceae. The record is from RefSeq and is a predicted model, not a curated record. The transcript has 4 exons.